CAGCCGUAAACUAUGCUCGCUAGGUGUCAGGCAUGGCGCGACCGUGUCUGGUGCCGCAGGGAAGCCGUGAAGCGAGCCACCUGGGAAGUACGGCCGCAAGACUGAAACUUAAAGGAAUUGGCGGGGGAGCACAACAACGGGUGGAGCCUGCGGUUUAAUUGGACUCAACGCCGGACAACUCACCGGGGACGACAGCAAUAUGUAGGCCAGGCUGAAGACCUUGCCUGAAUCGCUGAGAGGAGGUGCAUGGCGUAGACGUCU
This 261-nucleotide ribosomal RNA is filed under the name uncultured archaeon. RNAcentral's name for it is "partial 16S ribosomal RNA". It matches the Rfam family "Archaeal small subunit ribosomal RNA", at positions 748 to 1009 of the family's 1478-position model. The record is from RNAcentral.